GGGAUUGUAGUUCAAUUGGUCAGAGCACCGCCUUGUCAAGGCGGAAUCUGCGGGUUCGAGUCCCGUCAUUCCCA
Molecule: non-coding RNA, 74 nt
Organism: Macadamia integrifolia
Lineage: Eukaryota; Viridiplantae; Streptophyta; Magnoliopsida; Proteales; Proteaceae
Source: the annotation of a RefSeq genome assembly